Lynx canadensis (Canada lynx) is the source of this 606-nucleotide long non-coding RNA. RefSeq lists it as uncharacterized. NCBI's taxonomy places the organism in Eukaryota, Metazoa, Chordata, Mammalia, Carnivora, Felidae. The record is from RefSeq and is a predicted model, not a curated record. The transcript has 2 exons.
UAAUGCCUUUUGCCUUCAAUCUUACUGUCACCUCUGGUGAUGGCGUGGAUUCACUCCUCCGCUCACUCGGUAUCUGUGGGAGACGUGCUAGGGACCAGGCAGCGCGCCUUAGGCGCUGGGACGCGGCGAGGGACACGGUCACCCUCCUCCUUGCGGUGGCAGAGCUUACGGUCUGGUGAGAAGGAGAAUGAACCGGGAUGUGGCCAGAAAAAUGCUGGCUUCCGGGCCAGGGGGCGUCCCUGGAGCACCUACUAACCCUCUGUAAAAUGGAAAAGGAAGAUGCCAUGAUGUGGUGUGAGGCGUGGGAAUGGCUAAGUGCUCCUCACUAGUUCACUCCAGAUUCCUGAUGGGCCUUUGUGUUCUCAUUGCCUGAGAGUCGCCCAGUGAGCGUGCCUGGAGGACGCCAUCCCUUGGGGACAGAGGCAGGGCUUCAAUUACUGUGAGGACGGAGUCUCAAAGAACACGUAAAACAACACAAUACACAACAUUUCCUUCAUAUUUUCUAUUGUCUGGAAACAGCUCUAAAUUUCCCCUUAUACUGCUUGCCUUCUUCAGAAUACCAGAGAUGACAGAGCAGUUGUUGUAAUAAACAAUUCUGAUAUGUCA